AUUCUUACCUGGCAGAGGAGAUACCAUGAUCAAGAAGGUGGUCUUCCCAGGGCAAAGUUUUUCCGUGGCACUCUGAAUGUGCUGACUCCUGUAAUUUCCCCAAAUGUGGGAAAUACAACUGCAUAAUUUGUGGCAAUGAGGGACUCAUUCAUGCCCUCC
Molecule: small nuclear RNA, 159 nt
Filed under: Castor canadensis (American beaver)
Lineage: Eukaryota; Metazoa; Chordata; Mammalia; Rodentia; Castoridae
Description: U1 spliceosomal RNA (ENSCCNG00000009141.1)
Rfam family: U1 spliceosomal RNA
About the family: U1 is a small nuclear RNA (snRNA) component of the spliceosome (involved in pre-mRNA splicing). Its 5' end forms complementary base pairs with the 5' splice junction, thus defining the 5' donor site of an intron.
Source: Rfam by way of RNAcentral